GGGACACGUGGUAUCCUGUCUGAAUAUGGGGGGACCAUCCUCCAAGGCUAAAUACUCCUGACUGACCGAUAGUGAACCAGUACCGUGAGGGAAAGGCGAAAAGAACCCCGGCGAGGGGAGUGAAAAAGAACCUGAAACCGUGUACGUACAAGCAGUGGGAGCCUCUUAAUGGGGUGACUGCGUACCUUUUGUAUAAUGGGUCAGCGACUUAUAUUCUGUAGCAAGGUUAACCGAAUAGGGGAGCCGAAGGGAAACCGAGUCUUAACUGGGCGUUAAGUUGCAGGGUAUAGACCCGAAACCCGGUGAUCUAGCCAUGGGCAGGUUGAAGGUUGGGUAACACUAACUGGAGGACCGAACCGACUAAUGUUGAAAAAUUAGCGGAUGACUUGUGGCUGGGGGUGAAAGGCCAAUCAAACCGGGAGAUAGCUGGUUCUCCCCGAAAGCUAUUUAGGUAGCGCCUCGUGAAUUCAUCUCCGGGGGUAGAGCACUGUUUCGGCAAGGGGGUCAUCCCGACUUACCAACCCGAUGCAAACUGCGAAUACCGGAGAAUGUUAUCACGGGAGACACACGGCGGGUGCUAACGUCCGUCGUGAAGAGGGAAACAACCCAGACCGCCAGCUAAGGUCCCAAAGUCAUGGUUAAGUGGGAAACGAUGUGGGAAGGCCCAGACAGCCAGGAUGUUGGCUUAGAAGCAGCCAUCAUUUAAAGAAAGCGUAAUAGCUCACUGGUCGAGUCGGCCUGCGCGGAAGAUGUAACGGGGCUAAACCAUGCACCGAAGCUGCGGCAGCGACACUAUGUGUUGUUGGGUAGGGGAGCGUUCUGUAAGCCUGUGAAGGUGGCCUGUGAGGGUUGCUGGAGGUAUCAGAAGUGCGAAUGCUGACAUAAGUAACGAUAAAGCGGGUGAAAAGCCCGCUCGCCGGAAGACCAAGGGUUCCUGUCCAACGUUAAUCGGGGCAGGGUGAGUCGACCCCUAAGGCGAGGCCGAAAGGCGUAGUCGAUGGGAAACAGGUUAAUAUUCCUGUACUUGGUGUUACUGCGAAGGGGGGACGGAGAAGGCUAUGUUGGCCGGGCGACGGUUGUCCCGGUUUAAGCGUGUAGGCUGGUUUUCCAGGCAAAUCCGGAAAAUCAAGGCUGAGGCGUGAUGACGAGGCACUACGGUGCUGAAGCGACAAAUGCCCUGCUUCCAGGAAAAGCCUCUAAGCAUCAGGUAACAUUAAAUCGUACCCCAAACCGACACAGGUGGUCAGGUAGAGAAUACCAAGGCGCUUGAGAGAACUCGGGUGAAGGAACUAGGCAAAAUGGUGCCGUAACUUCGGGAGAAGGCACGCUGAUAUGUAGGUGAAGCGACUUGCUCGUGGAGCUGAAAUCAGUCGAAGAUACCAGCUGGCUGCAACUGUUUAUUAAAAACACAGCACUGUGCAAACACGAAAGUGGACGUAUACGGUGUGACGCCUGCCCGGUGCCGGAAGGUUAAUUGAUGGGGUUAGCGGCAACGCGAAGCUCUUGAUCGAAGCCCCGGUAAACGGCGGCCGUAACUAUAACGGUCCUAAGGUAGCGAAAUUCCUUGUCGGGUAAGUUCCGACCUGCACGAAUGGCGUAAUGAUGGCCAGGCUGUCUCCACCCGAGACUCAGUGAAAUUGAACUCGCUGUGAAGAUGCAGUGUACCCGCGGCAAGACGGAAAGACCCCGUGAACCUUUACUAUAGCUUGACACUGAACAUUGAGCCUUGAUGUGUAGGAUAGGUGGGAGGCUUUGAAGUGUGGACGCCAGUCUGCAUGGAGCCGACCUUGAAAUACCACCCUUUAAUGUUUGAUGUUCUAACGUGGGCCCGUAAUCCGGGUUGCGGACAGUGUCUGGUGGGUAGUUUGACUGGGGCGGUCUCCUCCUAAAGAGUAACGGAGGAGCACGAAGGUUGGCUAAUCCUGGUCGGACAUCAGGAGGUUAGUGCAAUGGCAUAAGCCAGCUUGACUGCGAGCGUGACGGCGCGAGCAGGUGCGAAAGCAGGUCAUAGUGAUCCGGUGGUUCUGAAUGGAAGGGCCAUCGCUCAACGGAUAAAAGGUACUCCGGGGAUAACAGGCUGAUACCGCCCAAGAGUUCAUAUCGACGGCGGUGUUUGGCACCUCGAUGUCGGCUCAUCACAUCCUGGGGCUGAAGUAGGUCCCAAGGGUAUGGCUGUUCGCCAUUUAAAGUGGUACGCGAGCUGGGUUUAGAACGUCGUGAGACAGUUCGGUCCCUAUCUGCCGUGGGCGCUGGAGAACUGAGGGGGGCUGCUCCUAGUACGAGAGGACCGGAGUGGACGCAUCACUGGUGUUCGGGUUGUCAUGCCAAUGGCACUGCCCGGUAGCUAAAUGCGGAAGAGAUAAGUGCUGAAAGCAUCUAAGCACGAAACUUGCC
This 2394-nucleotide ribosomal RNA is filed under the name Escherichia coli. Its description in RNAcentral is "partial 23S ribosomal RNA". It matches the Rfam family "Bacterial large subunit ribosomal RNA", at positions 419 to 2798 of the family's 2925-position model. Lineage: Bacteria; Pseudomonadati; Pseudomonadota; Gammaproteobacteria; Enterobacterales; Enterobacteriaceae. The record is from RNAcentral.